CCUACGGGUGGCAGCAGUGGGGAAUAUUGGGCAAUGGGCGCAAGCCUGACCCAGCAACGCCGCGUGAAGGAAGAAGGCUUUCGGGUUGUAAACUUCUGUGCUGAGGGACGAAGAAAGUGACGGUACCUCAGGAAUAAGCCACGGCUAACUACGUGCCAGCAGCCGCGGUAAUACGUAGGUGGCAAGCGUUAUCCGGAUUUAUUGGGUGUAAAGGGCGUGUAGGCGGGAAAGCAAGUCAGCUGUGAAAACUCAUGGCUCAACCCUGGCCCUGCAUUCGAAACUGUUUUUCUUGAGUGCUGGAGGGGCAAGCGGAAUUCCGUGUGUAGCGGUGAAAUGCGUAGAUAUAAGGAGGAACACCAGUGGCGAAGGCAACAUACCGG
RNAcentral lists this ribosomal RNA (380 nucleotides) under uncultured bacterium. Its description in RNAcentral is "partial 16S ribosomal RNA". It matches the Rfam family "Bacterial small subunit ribosomal RNA", at positions 338 to 732 of the family's 1533-position model. The record is from RNAcentral.